This is a long non-coding RNA of Lutra lutra (Eurasian river otter), 912 nucleotides long. RefSeq lists it as uncharacterized. The record is from RefSeq and is a predicted model, not a curated record. NCBI's taxonomy places the organism in Eukaryota, Metazoa, Chordata, Mammalia, Carnivora, Mustelidae. The transcript is spliced from 3 exons.
UACCCAUUAUCUAUUUCCAACAAAGUCAUAGCCAAACUUGUUUCAUCAUUUACUUCUCUGAGUUCCCACAUCCAGAUCAUUCUGAGGUAUAGUCCAAGCAAUCACUUCAUCUGUAAAUAUUUUGAUUCAAGAAAAAGUAAUCUGCCCAGUAGGAGUUUGUAGAAGCCAUCAGUAAAAAUGAAUGCUAUCUGCAAAUGAUAUCUAUACUUUGGAUUUGGUAAUUAGUAGACCAGGUGGUUAUUAAUGUUUCCUCAUCUUCUCAAAAGGUAGGAAAAGGUAAAGAAACCUGAAAUGAUUUUGAGCAGACAGUGACCAAUCUGAGAACUGUGAAUGGCAGAGCAGACUGAGUGUGGGAAACACUGGGGCCACUUUACAACACUGUGAGAGGCCUAGCAGGCUCAGCUUUGAAGGUGGGACUCUUUCAAGGCUCUCUAUAGGUAAAAUUUCCUAGAAUAGUCCUGGUGAGUGGUGAUUUCAUUGCUUUAAUGAUCAAUAAUUUAGGAUCACAAAUAUUUUCUCUGGUUUGCUGCCUGUCUAAAAGCAUCUGGCCGUGUGAAAUAACUGUGGAAUAAAUAAGACAUUAAGCAUUUAGAAUAUGCUAACAUUUAGUGACAGUUUGUGGUAAUGUUUGAGGAAAAGCAAACAAGAGUAUUCUUCUCUUCUUCCUAUUUAAAACAAUUUCUUGAAAGGAAUAGGAUUUCCUUGUAGUGAGGAGGGGUGACCACUUGUGACACUUUUGAAGAGCCAAGGUAUUUAUUUGCUCCCUCCAUUUCUAGUCCACAUGAGCCCUGCUCCACUUUAGAGUCAGACUGUCCUCCAUUCCACUCCAACCCCUCCUGAAGAUUUCUAAUAAAACUGUCUUUCCCCUUUCCUCAUUCUUCCUAAACCUCUUAAAACAUUUCAAACCAAUUU